GUCCUUUAAUCCAACUACUGCCAUUUUACAGAUGGGGAAACUAAGGUCCAGAGAGGCGGCAUGCAUACAGCCAGUUAGGUGGGCUGACCCGAGAUUCAUAUCGUGACCUAUUGUGAAAGUA
This 121-nucleotide long non-coding RNA is filed under the name Monodelphis domestica (gray short-tailed opossum). RNAcentral describes it as "lncRNA (ENSMODG00000051452.1)". Lineage: Eukaryota; Metazoa; Chordata; Mammalia; Didelphimorphia; Didelphidae. The record is from RNAcentral.